RNAcentral lists this ribosomal RNA (518 nucleotides) under uncultured bacterium. RNAcentral describes it as "bacterial SSU rRNA". It matches the Rfam family "Bacterial small subunit ribosomal RNA", at positions 235 to 770 of the family's 1533-position model. The record is from RNAcentral.
GGCUGAUUAGCUAGUUGGCGGGGUAACGGCCCACCAAGGCGAAGAUCGGUAGCCGGCCUGAGAGGGCACACGGCCACACUGGCACUGAAACACGGGCCAGACUCCUACGGGAGGCAGCAGUGGGGAAUCUUGCACAAUGGGGGAAACCCUGAUGCAGCGACGCCGCGUGAGCGAUGAAGCCCUUCGGGGUGUAAAGCUCUUUCGACGGGAACGAUAAUGACGGUACCCGAAGAAGAAGCUGCGGCUAACUACGUGCCAGCAGCCGCGGUAAUACGUAGGCAGCAAGCGUUGUUCGGAAUUACUGGGCGUAAAGAGUGUGUAGGCGGUGUUCUAAGUCUGUUGUGAAAUCUCCCGGCUCAACUGGGAGGGUGCGGCGGAGACUGGAAUGCUAGAGUAUGGGAGAGGUAAGCGGAAUUCCUGGUGUAGCGGUGAAAUGCGUAGAUAUCAGGAGGAACACCUGUGGUGUAGACAGCUUACUGGACCAUGACUGACGCUGAGACACGAAAGCGUGGGUAGCA